AUGAACGCUGGCGGCGUGCCUAAUCCCUGCAAGUCGCGCGAACAGACGAGGAGCUUGCUCCUCUGACGUUAGCGGCGGACGGGUGAGUAACACGUGGAUAACCUACCUAUAAGACUGGGAUAACUUCGGGAAACCGGAGCUAAUACCGGAUAAUAUAUUGAACCGCAUGGUUCAAUAGUGAAAGACGGUUUUGCUGUCACUUAUAGAUGGAUCCGCGCCGCAUUAGCUAGUUGGUAAGGUAACGGCUUACCAAGGCAACGAUGCGUAGCCGACCUGAGAGGGUGAUCGGCCACACUGGAACUGAGACACGGUCCAGACUCCUACGGGAGGCAGCAGUAGGGAAUCUUCCGCAAUGGGCGAAAGCCUGACGGAGCAACGCCGCGUGAGUGAUGAAGGGCUUCGGAUCGUAAAACUCUGUUAUUAGGGAAGAACAAAUGUGUAAGUAACUAUGCACGUCUUGACGGUACCUAAUCAGAAAGCCACGGCUAACUACGUG
Molecule: ribosomal RNA, 496 nt
Filed under: uncultured bacterium
Lineage: Bacteria
Description: partial 16S ribosomal RNA
Rfam family: Bacterial small subunit ribosomal RNA
Source: RNAcentral